Molecule: ribosomal RNA, 440 nt
Filed under: uncultured bacterium
Lineage: Bacteria
Description: partial 16S ribosomal RNA
Rfam family: Bacterial small subunit ribosomal RNA
Source: RNAcentral
CCUACGGGUGGCAGCAGUAAGGAAUAUUGCUCAAUGGGGGAAACCCUGAAGCAGCAACGCCGCGUGGAGGAUGAAGGUUCUCUGAUUUUUAACUCCUUUUUUUAGAGGAGAUAAUGACGGUAUCUAACGAAUAAGCACCGGCUAACUCCGUGCCAGCAGCCGCGGUAAUACGGAGGGUGCAAGCGUUACUCGGAAUCACUGGGCGUAAAGGGCGCGUAGGCGGGAUAGCAAAUCAGAUGGUAAAUCAUAUGGGUUAAACAUAGAACUGCAUUUGAAACUGUUAUUCUAGAGUAUGGGAGAGGUAGGUGGAAUUCUUGGUGUAGGGGUAAAAUCCGUAGAGAUCAAGAAGAAUACUCAUUGCGAAGGCGACCUGCUAGAACAUAACUGACGCUGAUGCGCGAAAGCGUGGGGAGCGAACAGGAUUAGAUACCCGGGUAGUC